This 1142-nucleotide long non-coding RNA is filed under the name Coturnix japonica (Japanese quail). RNAcentral describes it as "lncRNA (ENSCJPG00005013218.1)". Lineage: Eukaryota; Metazoa; Chordata; Aves; Galliformes; Phasianidae. The record is from RNAcentral.
AUGGUGGUCACUUAGUCAUCAUACCAAAGAAACGUUGAUAAAAGACCUGGGGUCAACAGAAAGGGCUUGAGUCCUGACAGCGAUUGAUCUAAAUUAUUUUUUAACAGUCUCCAGAGAUGGAAAUUCCACAGUCACUCUUGUCAAGUUGUUCUUUACUACUACAAAGUUGUUCCUGAUGUUUAAUUUCAAUCUCUCUUAUUAUUAAGGACAUUUGCUCUCAUCAUUUGAUAUGCACUGAUCAUAUUCUUUACAGAAGAUUUUGCAUACUCUAGACUUCAGUCUUUCAGCUGUACUUAAUUUAAACAGCUUGAACCUUAUCUCUUAUUUUUUCCUUCUAGUGAUCCACGUUCUCCCUCUGAUCUGAUUCAUGAAGUAUGCUGACCAGCAUUGGACACAGUAUUCCAGCCGAGGCCCUACAAAGUGGUGUAAAGAGAUCUUAUGCCCUAUUUAAAAUUUCUGUAAUUUGGAAAUCCUCUUUUCCAAAUGAAUAAGUCAUAGUGAAUUCAGUCUUCUGCCUCUGAUUACCUCCUUGUAUGGAAACAUUUGAAGAAAAUGAAUGUACUGUCACCUCAGAUAGAAAGGACAAUCAUCUUCCAGGUUCUGUAAUAUAUUUUUAGCUCUAAAACAUAGUUUUUCAGGGGAAAUGGACUCUAGACAUUCUCAUAUAAUGGGUUUAGAUACUAGGCAAUAGUGGUUUCUGAGUUUGUUUUAAUUGUUUUUCUUCUAAAAUGCCUUAAACUAUAUUAAUAUUUGUGUAUCAUAUAGUUCAGUGCUGGUGUUCUUAUAGAACUACUACAAUGACCCCUGAUCAAUAAUAACUCAUUUAGAUCCCCAUUUACUCAGUUAAGUCACUGGAUGCCAUUUGAUGUGCUGUCUGCUGUUGUCCUUCAUGAGUCUCACUGAUUAGUCCAAGUUCAAAUUACAGUGAGAAACGGUUGCACAGCUCAGGUAUAACUUUCUAUGAGCUUAUAUAGUAAAAAAUUGUGCUUGUAAUACUGGAAAUUUCAGUUACAACCUGUUUCUCUCCUUUUCUCACAUAGCCCAAGUCAUGGUCAAAAUGACUGAUUUUUAAAAAUGAAAAUAAUACAUAUGAAAUGAGUAAUUUUUAAUACAGAAAAUAAAAAAAAUGCUGUGUAAAAACA